GCGCCUCUAGCUCAAUGGUAGAGCACUUGACUCUUAAUCAAUAGGUUCCGGGUUCGAGUCCCGGGGGGCGCACAA
RNAcentral lists this transfer RNA (75 nucleotides) under Micrococcoides hystricis. Its description in RNAcentral is "tRNA-Lys". It matches the Rfam family "tRNA". From Rfam's summary of the family: Transfer RNA (tRNA) molecules are approximately 80 nucleotides in length. Their secondary structure includes four short double-helical elements and three loops (D, anti-codon, and T loops). Further hydrogen bonds mediate the characteristic L-shaped molecular structure. tRNAs have two regions of fundamental functional importance: the anti-codon, which is responsible for specific mRNA codon recognition, and the 3' end, to which the tRNAs corresponding amino acid is attached (by aminoacyl-tRNA synthetases). tRNAs cope with the degeneracy of the genetic code in two manners: having more than one tRNA (with a specific anti-codon) for a particular amino acid; and 'wobble' base-pairing, i.e. permitting non-standard base-pairing at the 3rd anti-codon position. The record is from RNAcentral. Lineage: Bacteria; Bacillati; Actinomycetota; Actinomycetes; Micrococcales; Micrococcaceae.